GUCAACACUCCUCUAUUAAGUCAACACUCCUCUAUUAGGACUCUAUUAUUAGUCAGGAACUCUUCGAUCAUUUGCAGAAAGUAAUAGAGGAGUGCCGCGCCUCCGUACGUGCAUUUGCAGGAAGGAACUCUUCGAUCUACAAGUAAUAAGCGUUUCAAUUUAGGAGCACGAUGGAUGUUGCACGUAAGAAUGCUCCUGCGUCGAACGGCGAAUCCUCACAUAGAAAAGAUGCUAAGUACAUGCAAUGA
Ananas comosus (pineapple) is the source of this 248-nucleotide long non-coding RNA. RefSeq lists it as uncharacterized. The record is from RefSeq and is a predicted model, not a curated record. The transcript is spliced from 3 exons. Lineage: Eukaryota; Viridiplantae; Streptophyta; Magnoliopsida; Poales; Bromeliaceae.